RNAcentral lists this unclassified non-coding RNA (217 nucleotides) under soil metagenome. Its description in RNAcentral is "partial contains 5.8S ribosomal RNA, internal transcribed spacer 2, and large subunit ribosomal RNA". The record is from RNAcentral.
AACCUAGCACACCUGCGGUGUGUACCUGCGGAAGGAUCAUUACAAGUGACCCCGGUCUAACCACCGGGAUGUUCAUAACCCUUUGUUGUCCGACUCUGUUGCCUCCGGGGCGACCCUGCCUUCGGGCGGGGGCUCCGGGUGGACACUUCAAACUCUUGCGUAACUUUGCAGUCUGAGUAAAUUUAAUUAAUAAAUUAAAACUUUCAGCAACGGAUCU